RNAcentral lists this ribosomal RNA (721 nucleotides) under Porticoccus sp. RNAcentral describes it as "bacterial SSU rRNA". It matches the Rfam family "Bacterial small subunit ribosomal RNA", at positions 28 to 744 of the family's 1533-position model. Lineage: Bacteria; Pseudomonadati; Pseudomonadota; Gammaproteobacteria; Cellvibrionales; Porticoccaceae. The record is from RNAcentral.
AUUGAACGCUGGCGGCAGGCCUAACACAUGCAAGUCGAGGCGUGAAAGUUCCUUCGGGAGCGAGUAGAGCGGCGGACGGGUGAGUAACGCGUAGGAAUCUGCCCAGUAGUGGGGGACAACAUGGGGAAACUCAUGCUAAUACCGCAUACGCCCUAAGGGGGAAAGCAGGGGAUCUUCGGACCUUGCGCUAUUGGAUGAGCCUGCGUCGGAUUAGCUAGUUGGUGGGGUAAUGGCCUACCAAGGCGACGAUCCGUAGCUGGUCUGAGAGGAUGAUCAGCCACACUGGGACUGAGACACGGCCCAGACUCCUACGGGAGGCAGCAGUGGGGAAUAUUGGACAAUGGGGGAAACCCUGAUCCAGCCAUGCCGCGUGUGUGAAGAAGGCCUUCGGGUUGUAAAGCACUUUCAAUAGGGAGGAAAAGUUAAUGGCUAAUACCCAUUAACCCUGACGUUACCUAUAGAAGAAGCACCGGCAAACUCCGUGCCAGCAGCCGCGGUAAUACGGAGGGUGCGAGCGUUAAUCGGAAUUACUGGGCGUAAAGCGCGCGUAGGCGGUUUGAUUAGCUGGAUGUGAAAGCCCCGGGCUUAACCUGGGAAUUGCAUCCAGAACUGUCAGGCUAGAGUACAGUAGAGGUGAGUGGAAUUUCCUGUGUAGCGGUGAAAUGCGUAGAUAUAGGAAGGAACAUCAGUGGCGAAGGCGGCUCACUGGACUGAUACUGAC